UGAUGUGAGAGAAAGACGGAAAUAGCCCUGAAUGAGAAAGAACAGCACAAGGGAUUGAUUUCUGUCUGUAAAAACUUUUGAGGAACAUGUUUAUUUCCUAGUCAACCAAGGUAUUCCAACAAAACAAUAUUUGCUGAUUACAAAUCUAAGCUGGACCAAAAAACUCAUACAGGUAUAUGCAGUAUGAAUCAAUCGUGUAAAUCCACAUCCACGCAAUUACAAAACUGGACAGCCUUUAACUACAGUUCCUGGUUCAGUUGGGCAAGAAGCCAGUGGACAUCCAUCAGAUUGCAUUUUCAACCAGUUGAGGCUAAUAUGCUCCAUCCCCAAGCACAAGUACAACAGUACUCCCAUGAAGGCCAAUCCAGCAUCGAGUGCCCCAGAUAGCACGUAAUUGUGGCGACUCCACCAAUCACGAUAAUACCUGUAAGCAAUGAAGCCCGAAGCAAAUCCAAUUAGAAUCCAGCUGGUGUAGUUGACUGCUGUGGCCGGGGGCAUGUUCACUGUAGCUCCUAAGAGCACAGGCAUAGUUAUAUGUCUUAUCCAAGGCCUGUUGGGGAAGGCUUUGUGUGCUAUCCAUACUAAGACAGGAGCUACAGCCCCAGCGAAGAAAAACCAGUUGACACUAGAGUAGUAGCCGAGGUCUCCGAAAAUCCUGCGAGGGCCAAUGAGACCCCAGAUGAUGGAGGCAUCGUAGAAUACAUGGUCUCCAGGACAAGUCCAUGGGCUGCCUGAUGGAAGCAUUUCCCUGUCACAUAUGUCUGGGAUGGUAUUCAUCAACCACCAUGCCGUUCCUAAAUGUGCCAAUGCUGAUAUAAUAGUACCAAAUACUGACAGUAAUCAUCAUAUUGCAAACAUAUAAAAUUACUUACAAUAGCGAAGGUUCUACAAUCAAAGGCAACAAGGGCAUCACACUCAAUGCUAGAGCUUCUUUUACAAUAGCUAUCAUUUUUCAGAAACAAAAAAUAUUAAAACUUCAAAAUGGAAAAUGCCUAAUCUAACUAACAUUCAAACUAAUGUUCAACCUCACUAACAGUUGGAGAAAACGAACUCACGUGAGAAAAAGUUUGGGAGAGCCAGCGACGGGUAACGUGUAACACACGCGCGCAUCUCUAGAGUUGGAAAUUUUCUCGAUUAAUUGGCAGGGAAUCAAGUUGAAGCCUUGUGUGGUCUUACGAGAUAUGCGGUUCAUAACGCCAAUUUGAGACUGCUCAUCUGAGGAUUAAGACUAAAAAUUAUAACCUAAUCACAAUCAUAAUCAUAUUCAAAGUUUUAACUGAAAACGGUAAUGCCGACGAUCAGAGAAGGAAAAUAUACCUGAGUUUUGCGGAGAGGAACGACGUAGAAGAGCUUGACGAAGGAUUUUCCACCUCAAAGACGCUGGUCUUAGCGUCGUUUUGGUGUUAUCGGUUUCCAUAGCGCUAUUCUUCUUCGAAAUCAGCUGCUGCUGGGACUGGGAUAUUUGAGUAAGGAUAUUUGAGUAAAUUGUCCAAACAGGGUGGGAGUUUGGAUAAACGAAAUGCCAAACGUAAAUAUAGUUAGGAUUGUAACACAAAAAUGAUGUGAGAGAAAGACGGAAAUAGCCCUGAAUGAGAAAGAACAGCACAAGGGAUUGAUUUCUGUCUGUAAAAACUUUUGAGGAACAUGUUUAUUUCCUAGUCAACCAAGGUAUUCCAACAAAACAAUAUUUGCUGAUUACAAAUCUAAGCUGGACCAAAAAACUCAUACAGGUAUAUGCAGUAUGAAUCAAUCGUGUAAAUCCACAUCCACGCAAUUACAAAACUGGACAGCCUUUAACUACAGUUCCUGGUUCAGUUGGGCAAGAAGCCAGUGGACAUCCAUCAGAUUGCAUUUUCAACCAGUUGAGGCUAAUAUGCUC
RNAcentral lists this long non-coding RNA (1879 nucleotides) under Citrus sinensis (sweet orange). RNAcentral's name for it is "long non-coding RNA (CSIN_LNC000465)". The record is from RNAcentral. Lineage: Eukaryota; Viridiplantae; Streptophyta; Magnoliopsida; Sapindales; Rutaceae.